Molecule: long non-coding RNA, 1589 nt
Filed under: Homo sapiens (human)
Lineage: Eukaryota; Metazoa; Chordata; Mammalia; Primates; Hominidae
Description: HEY2 antisense RNA 1, transcript variant 9 (HEY2-AS1)
Source: RNAcentral
AGUAAUUGCGACUUACUUGUUACAGCAGAAGCUUCAAGAAUUUACACUCAUUGGAAUAAUAAAAUAGAAGUAAGCAACCGUGCAUUAAAAAGCUAUGAAAAGAUGAAGAGAAUAUGCCUUCAAAUGGGAAGGAAUACUUAACUGUGAAUAAGACCUAGUUCAACAUGGAACUUCCUGGUGGCCAAGUCAGAAGAGAAGCACAGAACAAAAACGGAGGCACAGAGAGGUCAAUUGAUUGGUCUAAUGACACAGAUCUAGCAAGUGGUGGAACCAGGACUGAAUCCAGAGAAUCUGGAAGACUACUCUGCCAAGACAUCUCAAAAAGUGUGUGUCCGGAAUUGGUGGGUUCUUGGUCUCACUGACUUCAAGAAUGAAGCCGCGGACCCUUGCGGAACUGUGAAGACUAGAGUGACCUUGGAGAUCUCAUCUGGAAGAUGGUAGAACUGCUAUCAGCCUGGCUUCCCAAAUGACCUCCUGGAUCACAGCUACCCAUGGCCUGAAAUGUUGACCUUGGAGUUGUUGCAUAGGAAAGAAAUAAACUUCUUUGUUCUUUGAGCCACAUAGUUAUCACAUAUCUUCUUAAAGCCACUUACCCACUUGUUCUAUCUCAUUCAGCUCUGAAAUUCUGUUUAAUUUCUAGAGUCAAAACAUUCAUUUGUUUCUUCUUUAUUUAACAAGAAUCAAUUACUUAUUUUAUGGAAGCCACUAUUCCAAAGAGAAGAAUCAUAAAAACAUUAGCCUUAUGGAUCUUUUGUCCUGGGAACAACACAGAGUGGAGACUACUGGAAUUUUUAAUAAAGUUCCUUUCCUGGGCAGUGCCAGUCCAGACCUAAUUUCCAGACUUAGUUAAGAUUAGACCAGUGUGCUGAAGAAUCAAAACAUCUAGAUAUUUUCCUUGCUCCAUUCUGCUUACAGCCCCACAAAAACUACUCACCCCACAGGGUUUCUUGCUUGAGAUUCCAGACAAUUCCUGUAUGUUUUAUUAGAAUACACUCUGUGUUUCAUCCAACUAGGAAGCCUUUGGCUCCGACUUAAAGCAUUAAGAACGGACCACUUUGGUAUGGAAAAUUAUCAGUUUUGGGGGAAAAGCCCCUGUUUCUCUGAUCUGUGCUCUGAAUUUGGCAGCUUUGUAGGCUUUCUCAAAGAGCCGCAACUGUGAACCAUGUCAUGUUGUCAUUAUCUCUGAUAUGCUCUGUGCAUUGGAAAUCCUGUGUGAGACUGGCAGGGGACAGAGGGAAUGAAGAAAUCACAUUCAUCAGAACAAGCUGCUCAACUUCCUUAAGUAAGGAGUUUGUCUAACAUCCAGUGGUUUCCUCUGACAGAGUGUGUACUUUCUUAACAUACGGACAAGAUUAGUACAUAGCCAGAAUGACUGUCUGCAGGUCCUAGGCUGCUUUUCAGAGGCAGCUUUAAUCUUCCUAAUUGAAUAUUUAGCUUUUCUAGGCCUGCACAAAAUGUAAAUCACAAUGUUUACAAUCUGUGAAAUAAUAGGAGAGUACAUAAUGUCAUUGCAAUAUUUUGUAAUCACUGUUAAAUGACUAAAAUCUAUUAAACUCAAUCAUUUUAAAUUAAACUUCUAAACUUCCCCA